UAAACCAUCCAGGUUCCAUCUGCCUUGA
This 28-nucleotide non-coding RNA is filed under the name Callithrix jacchus (white-tufted-ear marmoset). Lineage: Eukaryota; Metazoa; Chordata; Mammalia; Primates; Cebidae. The record is from RNAcentral. RNAcentral also lists the same sequence under 1 other name.